AAACUAAAAGUUCAUGAUAAAUCAGAAACUGAGGUUGAUGAAGAACCUCUUCACGUACAUCUUCAAAAUCCAGAUUAUGGCAUUUUAGAGCUGGUGCCUGAGGCAGAGUUUGUUAAGUGACUCCAUACUUCUGCUGUACAGCAAUUCCUCCAAACACCUCAUGCUGUCCUUCUACAUGUGACUCAGAUGACAAGGUCAUAAGGUGAUGAUGGAGACCACACAAGUUAACGGCCGAGAACGCUCGACGACCAUGAAGCUGGAUGUCUGAUUGAGAACAUAUUGCAGAAAAGCCCAGGAGGAGAUCGUGUAAUCAAGGAAUACACGCGGACCAAAACUCUAAUGGAUGGCACAAGAUGACAAAUGGUCAAUAUGGUUACUGCUAAAAUGACAGACUUAUGGGUAGGUUAACUUUGAUGGGUUAUCAAUUUAAAACAAAUGCUUCACAGUCCUGAUUAUUACUAAACAAUAUGCAGGAAACUUGUUUCUUUACACAAACGUACAUGGGUCUGUUACAGGACAACCCCACCAAGACAUGUAAGGGAGAUGUAUGCAAGAGGAAUUGUGUCUCUUUGCUUAUUUGAAAGACCCUUUAUCAAAAAAUG
This is a long non-coding RNA of Polypterus senegalus (gray bichir), 602 nucleotides long. RefSeq lists it as uncharacterized. NCBI's taxonomy places the organism in Eukaryota, Metazoa, Chordata, Cladistia, Polypteriformes, Polypteridae. The record is from RefSeq and is a predicted model, not a curated record. The transcript has 3 exons.